GUCAGUGUGGUGUAGUGGUUUGAGCGUUGGACCACAACUCUAGAAACCUGGGUUCAAAUCCCCACUUGGCCA
Phrynosoma platyrhinos (Desert horned lizard) is the source of this 72-nucleotide non-coding RNA. NCBI's taxonomy places the organism in Eukaryota, Metazoa, Chordata, Lepidosauria, Squamata, Phrynosomatidae. The record is from the annotation of a GenBank genome assembly.